Molecule: ribosomal RNA, 388 nt
Filed under: uncultured Methanomicrobiales archaeon
Lineage: Archaea; Methanobacteriati; Methanobacteriota; Methanomicrobia; Methanomicrobiales
Description: bacterial SSU rRNA
Rfam family: Archaeal small subunit ribosomal RNA
Source: RNAcentral
AUCGGGCUGAAGACUCUACUUGACUAGCUGAGAGGAGGUGCAUGGCCGUCGUCAGUUCGUACUGUGAAGCAUCCUGUUAAGUCAGGCAACGAGCGAGACCCACGCCAACAGUUGCCAGCUCGUCCUCCGGGGAUGGUGGGGACACUGUUGGGACCGCCUCUGCUAAAGAGGAGGAAGGAAUGGGGCAACGGUAGGUCAGCAUGCCCCGAAUUAUCUGGGCUACACGCGGGCUACAAUGGGUGGGACAAUGGGUAUCGACACCGAAAGGUGAAGGCAAUCUCCUAAACCCAUCCGUAGUUCGGAUUGUGGGCUGCAACUCGCCCACAUGAAGCUGGAAUCUGUAGUAAUCGUGUCUCAAAAUGGCACGGUGAAUAUGUCCCUGCUCCUU